RNAcentral lists this ribosomal RNA (519 nucleotides) under uncultured Ferroplasma sp. Its description in RNAcentral is "bacterial SSU rRNA". It matches the Rfam family "Archaeal small subunit ribosomal RNA", at positions 24 to 547 of the family's 1478-position model. The record is from RNAcentral. Lineage: Archaea; Methanobacteriati; Thermoplasmatota; Thermoplasmata; Thermoplasmatales; Ferroplasmaceae.
CCACCGCUAUCAAGUUCCGACUAAGCCAUGCGAGUCAAGGUAUCGUAAGAUGCCGGCAAACUGCUCAGUAACACGUGGAUAAUCUAACCUUGAGUAAGGGAUAACCUCGGGAAACUGAGGAUAAUACCUUAUAAUUGCUUAAAACUGGAAUGUUUAAGCAAUAAAAGUUCCGACGCUCAAGGAUGAGUCUGCGACCUAUCAGGUAGUAGGUGGUGUAAUGGACCACCUAGCCUCAGACGGGUACGGGCCCUGGGAGGGGUAGCCCGGAGAUGGACUCUGAGACAUCAGUCCAGGCCCUACGGGGCGCAGCAGGCGCGAACACUGUGCAAUGCGCGAAAGCGCGACACGGGGAGCUUGAGUGUCUUGGCAUAGCCAAGACUUUUCUCAUUCCUAAAAAGCAUGAGGAAUAAGUGCUGGGUAAGACGGGUGCCAGCCGCCGCGGUAACACCCGCAGCACAAGUGGUGGUCACUUUUAUUGAGCCUAAAGCGUUCGUAGCCGGUUUUGUAAAUCUUUAGAUA